CCCUCGAUAGCUCAGUUGGAAGAGCGAGAGACUGUAAUUGGCUAUUGGGAUAAACAACUUUCGCGGGUUGAUCGUCUGAAACAAGCAUCUCUAGGUCACUGGUUCGAUCCCGGUUCGAGGGA
RNAcentral lists this transfer RNA (122 nucleotides) under Melampsora larici-populina 98AG31. RNAcentral's name for it is "tRNA-Tyr for anticodon GUA". It matches the Rfam family "tRNA". Rfam says of the family: Transfer RNA (tRNA) molecules are approximately 80 nucleotides in length. The record is from Rfam by way of RNAcentral. Lineage: Eukaryota; Fungi; Basidiomycota; Pucciniomycetes; Pucciniales; Melampsoraceae.